Molecule: ribosomal RNA, 425 nt
Filed under: uncultured bacterium
Lineage: Bacteria
Description: partial 16S ribosomal RNA
Rfam family: Bacterial small subunit ribosomal RNA
Source: RNAcentral
GUGGGGAAUCUUGCGCAAUGGGCGAAAGCCUGACGCAGCCAUGCCGCGUGAAUGAUGAAGGUCUUAGGAUUGUAAAAUUCUUUCACCGGGGACGAUAAUGACGGUACCCGGAGAAGAAGCUCCGGCUAACUUCGUGCCAGCAGCCGCGGUAAUACGAAGGGGGCUAGCGUUGCUCGGAAUUACUGGGCGUACAGGGCGCGUAGGCGGACAGCUUAGUCAGAGGUGAAAGCCCAGGGCUCAACCUUGGAAUUGCCUUUGAUACUGGCUGUCUUGAGUUUGGGAGAGGUGAGUGGAACUCCGAGUGUAGAGGUGAAAUUCGUAGAUAUUCGGAAGAACACCAGUGGCGAAGGCGACUCACUGGCCCAAUACUGACGCUGAGGCGCGAAAGCGUGGGGAGCAAACAGGAUUAGAUACCCCAGUAGUCC